RNAcentral lists this ribosomal RNA (402 nucleotides) under uncultured bacterium. RNAcentral's name for it is "bacterial SSU rRNA". It matches the Rfam family "Bacterial small subunit ribosomal RNA", at positions 355 to 774 of the family's 1533-position model. The record is from RNAcentral.
UCGGGAAUUUUGGGCAAUGGGCGAAAGCCUGACCCAGCAACGCCGCGUGAGGGAUGAAGUAUUUCGGUAUGUAAACCUCGAAAGAAUGGGAAGAAUAAAUGACGGUACCAUUUAUAAGCUCCGGCUAACUACGUGCCAGCAGCCGCGGUAAUACGUAGGGAGCAAGCGUUGUUCGGAUUUACUGGGCGUAAAGGGCGCGUAGGCGGCGCGGUAAGUCACUUGUGAAAUCUCUGAGCUUAACUCAGAACGGCCAAGUGAUACUGCUGUGCUAGAGUGCGGAAGAGGCAACCGGAAUUCUUGGUGUAGCGGUGAAAUGCGUAGAGAUCAAGAGGAACACCUGAGGCGAAGGCGGGUUGCUGGGCCGACACUGACGCUGAUGCGCGAAAGCCAGGGGAGCAAACG